CUUGGCUUUUGCGCACAUUUUACUGCCAUUGGGACAAUUUUGCCCAUUAUCACUAAUUUUGAACGCACGUUGCGCCUUGUUAGGCGUCGCAGUUGCCAGCGGCGUCAACGUCGACGGCUGCGUUAGCGUCG
Molecule: ribosomal RNA, 131 nt
Filed under: Drosophila mojavensis
Lineage: Eukaryota; Metazoa; Arthropoda; Insecta; Diptera; Drosophilidae
Description: 5.8S ribosomal RNA
Source: RNAcentral